Molecule: ribosomal RNA, 568 nt
Filed under: uncultured bacterium
Lineage: Bacteria
Description: partial 16S ribosomal RNA
Rfam family: Bacterial small subunit ribosomal RNA
Source: RNAcentral
UGGGGAAUAUUGCACAAUGGGCGCAAGCCUGAUGCAGCAACGCCGCGUGAGGGAUGACGGCCUUCGGGUUGUAAACCUCUUUUAGCAGGGAAGAAGCGAAAGUGACGGUACCUGCAGAAAAAGCACCGGCUAACUACGUGCCAGCAGCCGCGGUAAUACGUAGGGUGCAAGCGUUGUCCGGAAUUAUUGGGCGUAAAGAGCUCGUAGGCGGUCUGUCGCGUCUGCUGUGAAAUCCCGAGGCUCAACCUCGGGCCUGCAGUGGGUACGGGCAGACUAGAGUGCGGUAGGGGAGAAUGGAACUCCUGGUGUAGCGGUGGAAUGCGCAGAUAUCAGGAAGAACACCGAUGGCGAAGGCAGUUCUCUGGGCCGUAACUGACGCUGAGGAGCGAAAGCGUGGGGAGCGAACAGGAUUAGAUACCCUGGUAGUCCACGCCGUAAACGUUGGGCGCUAGAUGUGGGGACCAUUCCACGGUUUCCGUGUCGCAGCUAACGCAUUAAGCGCCCCGCCUGGGGAGUACGGCCGCAAGGCUAAAACUUAAAGGAAUUGACGGGGUCAUAGCUGUUUCCU